ACUCGUUUGUGCUUGCACAAUAAGGCUUUUGAACUUGGGACACGCUCGAUAUGUGAAAGUAGCGAUUUGCGUAGUAAAUCAGCGAAUUGCGAAUAUUGAGAGGAUUGCGGGAACAGCUAAGCUGCGGAGCAAUCCGUAGUAU
Molecule: small RNA, 142 nt
Filed under: uncultured Ruminococcus sp.
Lineage: Bacteria; Bacillati; Bacillota; Clostridia; Eubacteriales; Oscillospiraceae
Description: Clostridiales-1 RNA
Rfam family: Clostridiales-1 RNA
Source: RNAcentral